Molecule: ribosomal RNA, 254 nt
Filed under: uncultured bacterium
Lineage: Bacteria
Description: partial 16S ribosomal RNA
Rfam family: Bacterial small subunit ribosomal RNA
Source: RNAcentral
UACGUAGGGUGCGAGCGUUGUCCGGAAUUAUUGGGCGUAAAGAGCUCGUAGGCGGUGUGUCACGUCGGCCGUGAAAACCUGCAGCUUAACUGUGGGCGUGCGGUCGAUACGGGCAUCACUGGAGUUCGGCAGGGGAGACUGGAAUUCCUGGUGUAGCGGUGAAAUGCGCAGAUAUCAGGAGGAACACCGGUGGCGAAGGCGGGUCUCUGGGCAUCUCCUGACGCUGAGGCGCGAAAGCGUGGGGAGCAAACGGG